CAUUACUGUAAAGCAGGAAGGUGGACGUGUGUCUCCGCUCCGCCUGGGAGUUCCUGGGACACCUGUUGAGAUUUGCUCCCGGUGCUCCUUUAAAAUGCUGGGUACCCAGACAAUGAUUGUUCUGGAAGCCAAUAGAAGAGGUGAACAACAUCCGUAUCACAUAAAGUAUUGACUUAUGUGAGCUGGCAAAAGAUGUACUUCUGUUUAUUGUUAGAUAUAUAAAAUAUGAGAAGAUAGCUGUUAGAGCAUUCAAAUACUGAAUUGCAAAUUUACAAAGUUAACAAAUGAACAAAUCCACAAGGGCUGUGACGAGGAUUUGAACCUACGUCCGAUAUCAUCCCAGACGCUGCCUUAAUUGACUGAGCUACAACAUGGUCAAAAGAGUUGAAAUCAGAAGUUGUACCUAACUUACUUGGAUCCUGCAGCCUCUACGAGAGAGAAACCAUGGUUUUACACAACUCCCCCAAUGCACUCGAGCUAUGUCAAAGACGAAGUUAACAUUUUCGCUGGCGCGGCGGGGCACCCAAAUCGCACCGGAAAGUAGGCUGCGGAUUCCUGCAGGAAGGUGCUGAUCCAGCAAGUUCUCCCAUCAAAUGGACGCUGAGCAGCCAUAUUGUCGAUCAUAUGUUGAGGACUUCAUAUUCUACCUGCCAGCUAAGCUCUUAAGUUAUAAAUAGUUUAGACAGUCCAGUGAUCAUAUAUAAAUUAGACAAAUUUAAAUAGAAACAAACUGGUUUACCCAGGGAAAUCAAUUUAAUAUCUAAAUCAAAUCUGAGACUACGCUCAACAAGCUGGAUGGUCUAAAUAUCAGUUACAUUAGGCUAACUCAAUUUAAUUUGUAUGGAAACUAAACAAAAUAUAAUUCUUCAUACAGUCCACCCUCUACCAAUUAAAGAGACAAUAAUUAUUUCUCCACAACUGAUUCAAUUUUCCUUUUGUGCUUCAUGAGAUGCAGGUUCGAUGUUGGUGCUGCAUUUUCGAGAAUGUAGAUUUUAAAUCCUGUUUAUUUUAUUAAAUACUGUUCCUAUGUUUGUCAACAUUAAUUAUGCUACUUACAUUUACAAUAUCCUGUUCACAUGAGCUUCUAGUAAUAUUAUUGGGAUUAUAUCCACUCCCAUGUCUGUUUCUCUUGUAUCUUGUACAGUGGAACCUCGGUUGACAAAUGCCCAUCUUUACGAAUUUUUCGAUUUACGAGCUAAAUUUUUUCGUAAAAUUCGACUCGGUAUACGAGCUUUGCCUCGCUUGCUGAAUUUUUUAUACACGUAUCUUAUAGAUUUUUAUACACAUAUUUAGGGAGCCGGACGGCCGAGCGGACAGCACGCUGGACUUAUGAUCAUGUGGUCCUGGGUUCGAUCCCAGGCGCCGGCAAGAAACAAUGGGCAGUUUCUUUCACCCUAUGCCCCUGUUACCUAGCAGUAAAAUAGGUACCUGGCUGUUAGUCAGCUGUCACGGGCUGCUUCCUGGGGGUGGAGGCCUGGUCGAGGACCGGGCCGCAGGGACACUAAAGCCCCGAAAUUAUCUCAAGAUACUCAAGAAGAGUAUGGGCUGACUGAGCGCAUAGUGCACUUCAGUUUACCAGUGUCUCCCACCUAGUGAUGACCACGCUUGAAUUCUUUGUGAAGAAUUUCAUUGUCUUUUGUGCAUUUUUGGUUUCUGAACAUAAAAGUUCUUAUAUAUUUCGCCAUGGUCUCUGAGAGCAUUUCAGAGACCAUCAUUUAUGAAACAGCAAGGCUAUUGCAGAAGAUCUAAUAAAGAAAACCCCUGGAACAAGUGAUACAGAUAUGAAAGCAUUUAAAGCAAGCAGGGGAUGGAUUGAGAAAUUGAGAAAUGUCUAUAGACAGAUUCUUAGUAAGACAAGCAAGCAGUGAGCCACUAAAAGGUCCUAAUGGUAUGCCUGCAAAACAUAGGAGAGAGUACCUCUGAAAUGUCAUCAGUGUCUGAUGUUAUAAUGGAAUGGGACUCCCCCUUCCAAACACUAACACCUCUCCUCCUUCCCUAGAAACACAAACCGUAACUUUCUCUAUUUUCUGCUUGUUACAACUUGUAAUAAAGAUGUUACAU
Molecule: long non-coding RNA, 2061 nt
Organism: Procambarus clarkii (red swamp crayfish)
Lineage: Eukaryota; Metazoa; Arthropoda; Malacostraca; Decapoda; Cambaridae
Source: RefSeq, a predicted model, not a curated record